AUUUGUCGUGUGCUUUAUUUGAAAUAUUGUCCAAAUAAGAGCUUACAGCAGUUAAAUCU
Streptococcus sp. HSISM1 is the source of this 59-nucleotide non-coding RNA. NCBI's taxonomy places the organism in Bacteria, Bacillati, Bacillota, Bacilli, Lactobacillales, Streptococcaceae. The record is from Rfam.